UAAUACAGCUUUCAGCAACGGAUCUCUUGGCUCUCGCAUCGAUGAAGGACGCAGCGAAUUGCGAUAAGUAAUGUGAAUUGCAGAUUUUCCGUGAAUCAUCGAAUCUUUGAACGCACCUUGCGCUCCUUGGUAUUCCGAGGAGCAUGCCUGUUUGAGUGUCAUCG
RNAcentral lists this ribosomal RNA (164 nucleotides) under Pisolithus sp. WM01. RNAcentral describes it as "5.8S ribosomal RNA". It matches the Rfam family "5.8S ribosomal RNA". From Rfam's summary of the family: 5.8S ribosomal RNA (5.8S rRNA) is a component of the large subunit of the eukaryotic ribosome. It is transcribed by RNA polymerase I as part of the 45S precursor that also contains 18S and 28S rRNA. Lineage: Eukaryota; Fungi; Basidiomycota; Agaricomycetes; Boletales; Pisolithaceae. The record is from RNAcentral.